UGAGAAGAAGGAGACGGAGAGGGCUUUAAGAAGCAAUUGGCUAUUAGUGUGCUGUCAGCAAACUGUGGCUAGAGGCUGCGGGUUCUGGACGUCUCCAGGAUAAUUAGGAAGAUGAUGGAUUAAAGUGAAGAUUGUGACAUUUUCUGAUAAGCGGCCCAAAAGCAGGACCAUGCCUUAUCAAGGAACCUCUCUCCUUGCAUAACUGCCUGUUGGGACUCCUGUCCUCUGUGAAGACAUUCUCUUCUCAAUGUUAAUACCUCUGUUUAUCUCUCUGCCAAGAUUUCUCAGCUAGGACCUUUAUCUUUCUGCCAGGACUUUGUCACUAGGAAGUCAGUCUUCCUAGCAAAAACUGGCUUCUGCAGUGCCAACAAUAAACUUCC
Molecule: long non-coding RNA, 380 nt
Organism: Sarcophilus harrisii (Tasmanian devil)
Lineage: Eukaryota; Metazoa; Chordata; Mammalia; Dasyuromorphia; Dasyuridae
Exons: 3
Source: RefSeq, a predicted model, not a curated record